UACGGGGGGGGCAAGCGUUGUUCGGAAUUACUGGGCGUAAAGGGCUCGUAGGCGGCCAACUAAGUCGGAUGUGAAAUCCCCAGGCUUAACCUGGGAACUGCAUCCGAUACUGGAUGGCUUGAAUCCGGGAGAGGGAUGCAGAAUUCCAGGUGUAGCGGUGAAAUGCGUAGAUAUCAGGAGGAACACCGGUGGCGAAGGCGGUGAUCUGGGCCGACACUGACGCUGUAGAGCGAAAGCGUGGGGAGCGAACAGG
RNAcentral lists this ribosomal RNA (253 nucleotides) under uncultured bacterium. RNAcentral's name for it is "partial 16S ribosomal RNA". It matches the Rfam family "Bacterial small subunit ribosomal RNA", at positions 524 to 776 of the family's 1533-position model. The record is from RNAcentral.